RNAcentral lists this ribosomal RNA (1075 nucleotides) under uncultured organism. RNAcentral describes it as "bacterial SSU rRNA". It matches the Rfam family "Bacterial small subunit ribosomal RNA", at positions 188 to 1268 of the family's 1533-position model. The record is from RNAcentral.
CAUAUGAGAUGGAUUAAAGUUACGGCGGUUCAAGAUGGGCAUGCGUGACAUUAGCUAGUUGGUGAGGUAACGGCUCACCAAGGCGACGAUGUCUAGGGGUCCUGAGAGGGUUUCCCCCCACACUGGUACUGAGACACGGACCAGACUCCUACGGGAGGCAGCAGUAAGGAAUAUUGGUCAAUGGACGCAAGUCUGAACCAGCCAUGCCGCGUGCAGGAUGACUGCCCUACGGGUUGUAAACUGCUUUUACGUGAGAAAAAACUCCCCGAUUCGUUCGGGGACUGAUGGUAUCACAUGAAUAAGCAUCGGCUAACUCCGUGCCAGCAGCCGCGGUAAUACGGAGGAUGCAAGCGUUAUCCGGAUUCAUUGGGUUUAAAGGGUGUGCAGGCGGAAUGAUAAGUCAGAGGUGAAAUCCCCCGGCUCAACCGGGGACCUGCCUUUGAUACUGUUGUUCUUGAGUAUAGUUGAGGCGGGCGGAAUGUGUCAUGUAGCGGUGAAAUGCAUAGAUAUGACACAGAACACCGAUAGCGAAGGCAGCUCACUAACCUAUAACUGACGCUCCUGCACGAAAGCGUGGGGAGCAAACAGGAUUAGAUACCCUGGUAGUCCACGCUGUAAACUAUGAUCACUAGUUGUUAGCGAUACACUGUUAGCGACUGAGGGAAACCAUUAAGUGAUCCACCUGGGGAGUACGGCCGCAAGGUUGAAACUCAAAGGAAUUGACGGGGGCCCGCACAAGCGGAGGAGCAUGUGGUUUAAUUCGAUGAUACGCGAGGAACCUUACCUGGGCUUAAAUGCAGGACGACAUCCCGUGAAAACGGGAUUUCUUCGGACGGCCUGCAAGGUGCUGCAUGGUUGUCGUCAGCUCGUGCCGUGAGGUGUCGGGUUAAGUCCCAUAACGAGCGCAACCCCUAUUCUUAGUUGCCAUCAGGUAAUGCUGGGAACUCUAAGGAAACUGCCUACGCAAGUAGUGAGGAAGGUGGGGAUGACGUCAAAUCAGCACGGCCCUUAUGUCCAGGGCGACACACGUGCUACAAUGGCCGAUACAGAGGGGAGCUAACUGGUGACAGUCUGC